RNAcentral lists this ribosomal RNA (253 nucleotides) under uncultured bacterium. RNAcentral describes it as "partial 16S ribosomal RNA". It matches the Rfam family "Bacterial small subunit ribosomal RNA", at positions 524 to 776 of the family's 1533-position model. The record is from RNAcentral.
GACGUAGGGCGCGAGCGUUGUCCGGAUUUAUUGGGCGUAAAGAGCUCGUAGGCGGCUCAUUGCGUCAACCGUGAAAACUCACAGCUCAACUGUGGGCGUGCGGGCGAUACGGGCAGACUUGAGUACUGCAGGGGAGACUGGAAUUCCUGGUGUAGCGGUGGAAUGCGCAGAUAUCGGGAAGAACACCCGUGGCGAAGGCGGCUCUCUGGGACGGUACUGACGCUGAGACGCGAAAGCGUGGGGAGCGAACAGG